AAUAUUGAUUUUUUUUUUUUAGUUUCUACUUCCUUUACUGUCCAGACCACAAUCCCAUAGAAUUCCUUUUUGCCUAUCGAAGUCUGUCCUACAUUAAAUGCUAUUUUUACUGAAUCUUUCCGAAAUUCUGUGUUAAUCUUUCCCCUAAAAUCCUCAAAUCUUUCGAAGCACAGAGAGAGCCGAUUUACUUCCGCAAUUAUUUAUUUAUCGAUACACUUAACAAAGUAAAGUGUAAUUUAUUCUUGAUUUAUUUUCGAGCCCAAGAGGUUUGAUAUAGGGGUUUUCCGAUCGAUUCAGAAAAAGCUAGAGAGAAUGGCGAGCCCUGUCAACGUUACUCAGGUAAUCGAAUUUAAUUCAAAGGAAAAUUGUAUGUAUAUGUGCAUGCAUGUUAUGUAAUCGUUUUAUUAAAUCUUUGCAGUCUUGAGAUUGAUUUGUUCCUUUGGAUGAUUAGGUGGGAUCGUAUUUUGGUCGGCAGUAUUAUCAGGUGUUUCAUCAACAAAGGGAUAUUGUGCAUCAGUUUAUUGUUGACAGUUCUAUGAUUAGAAUCGAUGGGGAUUCAAGUGAAUCCUUUUCGGGAAGGGCAGUGAGUUUCUUUUCGAAAUACGAAUUUUGAUUUUGGAUUUCAAUUAUUUUUUGUUAGAUCGGAUUAAGGUUAUCGUAUUGAUUCAGUUACAAUAUUUGUCAUGACAGAAAUAAUAUAGGGUCAUGACUCAUGAAAGCUUAAUGUUUUUCAUUAUUAUUAACAGAUAUCAUCACUUAAAUCAAUGCGCUCCUCAAUUCACAUAUUAAUGGACGCAAGGACCCACUGCUACCUAAACCGAUAAUAAUCUUUAGUAAUGAUGAUUAUCAUCAUUUGUCACGAAUGCAAUAAACUUAAUGUGAUUUGGGUAAUUUUUUCAGCGUGUUUUUGCUUCACUUUCUUUAUAUACUUGUAAUUCCUGUCGUUUAACAUUAUCGUUAGGCAUAUUUUUGGCUAUGAAAUUUCAAGAGCAAAAUAAAUUACCAUUAAAGUAGUUGCAAUGAAUCAUUAAGCAUAACAAAUUGGGUUUGCAUGGAAUUCCAUGUGUUAAUAUGUUCAACAAAUCUUAGUUACUAGUGAAGUAACCUUUUGAACGUAGUUCGUCUUUAUUACCAUGCUUGUUAAUCAUUGAUACUUCUUUGUAAUUUACUUGCUGCAUGAUACAUUAACAAAUAAACAAGCAAGUCUUUCCUUCUUUAUGUUUUUCUUUCCCUACUUUAUGGAUAAAUAAGAAUCUUGCUCCCUGAUUUUUUACCCUUCCAUA
Molecule: long non-coding RNA, 1283 nt
Filed under: Olea europaea subsp. europaea
Lineage: Eukaryota; Viridiplantae; Streptophyta; Magnoliopsida; Lamiales; Oleaceae
Source: RNAcentral